Molecule: ribosomal RNA, 857 nt
Filed under: Salmonella enterica
Lineage: Bacteria; Pseudomonadati; Pseudomonadota; Gammaproteobacteria; Enterobacterales; Enterobacteriaceae
Description: partial 23S ribosomal RNA
Rfam family: Bacterial large subunit ribosomal RNA
Source: RNAcentral
AAGACGGAAAGACCCCGUGAACCUUUACUAUAGCUUGACACUGAACAUUGAGCCUUGAUGUGUAGGAUAGGUGGGAGGCUUUGAAGCGUGGACGCCAGUCUGCGUGGAGCCGACCUUGAAAUACCACCCUUUAAUGUUUGAUGUUCUAACGUGGACCCGUGAUCCGGGUUGCGGACAGUGUCUGGUGGGUAGUUUGACUGGGGCGGUCUCCUCCUAAAGAGUAACGGAGGAGCACGAAGGUUGGCUAAUCCUGGUCGGACAUCAGGAGGUUAGUGCAAUGGCAUAAGCCAGCUUGACUGCGAGCGUGACGGCGCGAGCAGGUGCGAAAGCAGGUCAUAGUGAUCCGGUGGUUCUGAAUGGAAGGGCCAUCGCUCAACGGAUAAAAGGUACUCCGGGGAUAACAGGCUGAUACCGCCCAAGAGUUCAUAUCGACGGCGGUGUUUGGCACCUCGAUGUCGGCUCAUCACAUCCUGGGGCUGAAGUAGGUCCCAAGGGUAUGGCUGUUCGCCAUUUAAAGUGGUACGCGAGCUGGGUUUAGAACGUCGUGAGACAGUUCGGUCCCUAUCUGCCGUGGGCGCUGGAGAACUGAGGGGGGCUGCUCCUAGUACGAGAGGACCGGAGUGGACGCAUCACUGGUGUUCGGGUUGUCAUGCCAAUGGCACUGCCCGGUAGCUAAAUGCGGAAGAGAUAAGUGCUGAAAGCAUCUAAGCACGAAACUUGCCCCGAGAUGAGUUCUCCCUGAGACUUUAGGUCUCCUGAAGGAACGUUGAAGACGACGACGUUGAUAGGCCGGGUGUGUAAGCGCAGCGAUGCGUUGAGCUAACCGGUACUAAUGAACCGUGAGGCUUAACCUUACA